This 451-nucleotide ribosomal RNA is filed under the name uncultured Hyphomicrobiales bacterium. RNAcentral's name for it is "uncultured Rhizobiales bacterium partial 16S ribosomal RNA". The record is from RNAcentral. Lineage: Bacteria; Pseudomonadati; Pseudomonadota; Alphaproteobacteria; Hyphomicrobiales.
CACGAAGUUAGCCGGGGCUUCUUCUCACGCUACCGUCAUUAUCGUCGCGUGCGAAAGAGCUUUACAACCCUAAGGCCGUCAUCACUCACGCGGCAUGGCUGGAUCAGGCUUGCGCCCAUUGUCCAAUAUUCCCCGCUGCUGCCUCCCGUAGGAGUUUGGGCCGUGUCUCAGUCCCAAUGUGGCUGGCCAUCCUCUCAGACCAGCUAUCGAUCGUCGCCAUGGUGGGCCGUUACCCCGCCAUCUAGCUAAUCGAACGCGGGCCAAUCCUUGGCGAUGAAUCUUUCGCCCUCAAGCCGUAUCCGGUAUUAGCGUUCGUUUCCAAACGUUGUUCCGAACCGAGGGUAUGUUCCCACGUGUUACUCACCCGUCUGCCACUCCCGAUUGCUCGGGCGUUCGACUUGCAUGUGUUAAGCCUGCCGCCAGCGUUCGUUCUGAGCCAGGAUCAAACUCU